Long non-coding RNA from Canis lupus familiaris (dog), 413 nucleotides. RefSeq lists it as uncharacterized. NCBI's taxonomy places the organism in Eukaryota, Metazoa, Chordata, Mammalia, Carnivora, Canidae. The transcript has 3 exons. The record is from RefSeq and is a predicted model, not a curated record.
GAGAAACUGAGGCACAGAGAAGUCAAACAGCUUGUCAAAGAUACCACGCUAAAGGGCAGACCUGGGAACACAGAGCAGUUCUUUCCAGCCAUGGGAACCUCCAGUCCUGCCAGUGUUCCUGAGUUACUGUCUUCUCUCUAGACCUCAGUUUCCCUGUCCGCACAAUAGAGAUUUACGUUUCCUGGACAUUUCAUAUACAUGGACUGAAUACAACGUGUGGUGGUUUGUGUCUGGUUUGCUCAACUUAGCAUGACGUUUCUGAGAUUCAUGUUUUAAUAUGUAUCAGUAUUUCUUUCCUUUUUUAUGCCCGAAUAGUAUUCUGUUGUGCGACUAUACCACAUUUUAUCCAUCCAUUCACCAGCAUUUGAUCGUUUUAAUGAUUUCUGCUUUUUGGCUGUUGUGAAUAAAACUGC